This 66-nucleotide non-coding RNA is filed under the name Caenorhabditis elegans. The record is from RNAcentral. Lineage: Eukaryota; Metazoa; Nematoda; Chromadorea; Rhabditida; Rhabditidae.
AGAAACACUGCACUGACUUCUUCUGAUGACCGCUGUUCGGGCAACGCAUCCACCUCUCAUACACAU